UGAAGAAUUUGGUCAUCUAGAGGAGUACAUACCUUUAUUUGUCACUUCUGACGACAUUCCAGACAUUGAUAAGAAAAAAAUGGUAUGUUGAUUGGAGCAACUACAUCAAUCGGAUUAAUCAUAAAAAUAGUAUUGUUUUCAAAUUGUAAAGAGUGGAUAGGGUGAAUGAAACAGAGAGUGAAAGUUACAACAACAUAUAGAAGCAAAGGUGCAGACCAUUUUUUGCUUUCGUGUCAUGAUUGGGUAAGUCCAUUUAUUAUAUAGUAUAUAGUAUAGUAGUAUUUAAUUUUCAGUAGCUAAAUUCUAUUGAUAGGCCCCCUAUUAAUUGUUUAAUUUUCCACUUAUUAUUAAACACAAUAAUGUUGUUGU
Glycine soja is the source of this 369-nucleotide long non-coding RNA. RefSeq lists it as uncharacterized. The record is from RefSeq and is a predicted model, not a curated record. The transcript is spliced from 3 exons. Lineage: Eukaryota; Viridiplantae; Streptophyta; Magnoliopsida; Fabales; Fabaceae.